GACAGAGGGGGCAAGCGUUGCUCGGAAUCACUGGGCGUAAAGGGCGCGUAGGCGGGAUGGCAAGUCAGUCGUGAAAUCUCUCGGCUCAACCGAGAAACGUCGGCUGAUACUGCCGUUCUUGAGGGAUGCAGAGGAGACUGGAAUUCCCGGUGUAGCGGUGAAAUGCGUAGAUAUCUGGAGGAACACCGGUGGCGAAGGCGGCAUCCUGGACCAAUAUUGACGCUGAGGAGCGAAAGCUAGGGGAGCAAACGGG
This 253-nucleotide ribosomal RNA is filed under the name uncultured bacterium. Its description in RNAcentral is "partial 16S ribosomal RNA". It matches the Rfam family "Bacterial small subunit ribosomal RNA", at positions 524 to 776 of the family's 1533-position model. The record is from RNAcentral.